UAGGGUUCAAGAUCUCCAGGGUGAA
This 25-nucleotide non-coding RNA is filed under the name Mus musculus (house mouse). The record is from RNAcentral. Lineage: Eukaryota; Metazoa; Chordata; Mammalia; Rodentia; Muridae. RNAcentral also lists the same sequence under 1 other name.